This 1439-nucleotide ribosomal RNA is filed under the name uncultured bacterium. RNAcentral describes it as "bacterial SSU rRNA". It matches the Rfam family "Bacterial small subunit ribosomal RNA". The record is from RNAcentral.
AGGGUUUGAUCCUGGCUCAGAACGUACGCUGGCGGCACGCCUAACACAUGCAAGUCGAACGAAGUAGCAAUACUUAGUGGCAGACGGGUGAGUAACAUGUAGGUAUCUGCCCUUUGGCCUGGAAUAACACGAGGAAACUUGUGCUAAUACCGGAUAAGUCUUUACGGAGAAAGCUUUAUGCACCAUUGGAUGAGCCUGCACUUGAUUAGUUUGUUGGUGGGGUAAUGGCCUACCAAGACUGUGAUCAAUAGCUGAUUUGAGAGGAUGAUCAGCCACAUUGGGACUGAGACACGGCCCAAACUCCUACGGGAGGCAGCAGUGGGGAAUCUUGCACAAUGGAGGAAACUCUGAUGCAGCGAUGCCGCGUGAGUGAAGAAGGCCCUUGGGUUGUAAAGCUCUUUCGUCGGGGAAGAAAAUGACUGUACCCGAAUAAGAAGGUCCGGCUAACUUCGUGCCAGCAGCCGCGGUAAUACGAAGGGACCUAGCGUAGUUCGGAAUUACUGGGCUUAAAGAGUUCGUAGGUGGUUGAAAAAGUUAGUGGUGAAAUCCCAGAGCUUAACUCUGGAACUGCCAUUAAAACUUUUCAGCUAGAGUAUGAUAGAGGAAAGCAGAAUUUCUAGUGUAGAGGUGAAAUUCGUAGAUAUUAGAAAGAAUACCAAUUGCGAAGGCAGCUUUCUGGAUCAUUACUGACACUGAGGAACGAAAGCAUGGGUAGCGAAGAGGAUUAGAUACCCUCGUAGUCCAUGCCGUAAACGAUGUGUGUUAGACGUUGGAAAUUUAUUUUCAGUGUCGCAGGGAAACCGAUAAACACACCGCCUGGGGAGUACGACCGCAAGGUUAAAACUCAAAUGAAUUGACGGGGACCCGCACAAGUAGUGGAGCAUGUGGUUUAAUUCGAAGAUACGCGCAGAACCUUACCAACACUUGACAUGUUCGUCGCGACUCUAAGAGAUUAGAGUUUUCGGUUCGGCCGGACGAAACACAGGUGCUGCAUGGCUGUCGUCAGCUCGUGUCGUGAGAUGUUGGGUUAAGUCCCGCAACGAGCGCAACCCUCACUUUUAGUUGCCAUCAUUAAGUUGGGCACUCUGAAAGAACUGCCAGUGAUAAGCUGGAGGAAGGUGGGGAUGACGUCAAGUCCUCAUGGCCCUUACGUGUUGGGCUACACACGUGCUACAAUGGUAUCUACAACAGGAAGCAAGACUGCGAAGUUAAGCAAAUCCCUAAAAGAUACCUCAGUUCGGAUUGCACUCUGCAACUCGAGUGCAUGAAGCUGGAAUUACUAGUAAUCGUGGAUCAGCGUGCCACGGUGAAUGCGUUCCCGGGUCUUGUACACACCGCCCGUCACACCAUGGGAGUUGGUUCUACCUUAAGGCAAGGUUUCAAACCCUUGACCACGGUAUAGUCAGCGACUGGGGUGAAGUCGUAACAAGGUAACCGUA